Episyrphus balteatus (marmalade hoverfly) is the source of this 861-nucleotide long non-coding RNA. RefSeq lists it as uncharacterized. NCBI's taxonomy places the organism in Eukaryota, Metazoa, Arthropoda, Insecta, Diptera, Syrphidae. The transcript is spliced from 4 exons. The record is from RefSeq and is a predicted model, not a curated record.
AUAUGUUGUAUGUAAACGUUUUUCAACUGUUAGAUACAGCAGCUUAAAAAAAAUUGUAGUCUUAGCAAGAAUCAUUUAUUUACAUAUUAAAUAAAUUCGACCCAUUCACGAUCAGAUGCUUUGACACCAGAACAAAUGUUAGCAACAAGUUUAAGAUUUUUUGGUGAAAGAACAUAUUAUGACGUUGGCACGGAUUUUCAUUCACCUUUUGGGCAGUCAACAUUCUUUAUACUCUAAGAAACAUUGUGUGCUAAAUGGAUAUCCUUAGAAGAUAUGUGAACUUUAAAAAUUGAAGAACCCUAGAUGCAUGUCCAGAAAAAAAAAAACAGAAUUUAUGCGUUGAUGGAACUCAUGUACAAAUUAUUGCUUCUAAAGAUGACAAACAUUUGUUUUACAACAGGAAGGGAUACUGAUACUAUUCCCUUAAUGUUCUUAUUGAAAUAUUUGCGAUUAGAAAAUGUGAAUUCGAGGUGUAAAUGCGAAGUUCCAAGGCAUUUUCCAUAUAAUAUAUGGAAUAUCAGUCCACAAAGACGUUAAUUCGAACAAAAGUACCUAAACGGGGUUUGAAAUGAAUAUGUUUAAGAGAUGCUGAAUAUCCACUGGAACCUUGGUUGCUGACUCCUUUUAGGAGACCAAGUCCAAAUAGCCACUAAAUGCGAUACAAACAAGCCUCAUUGGAAAACUGGAAACGUCCGUCGUGGGAAAAAUGAUUGAAUUGCUUAAAAACAGAUUUCGAUGUUUGUUUUCAGCAUAAGCAGCUUCGUUUUUGUUUGCGCCCAUUAAUUGCUAUUGCUGUUUUUUAUAAAAUUUAUCUUUUUAAUAAACCUCACUGCGCAUCACAAAAAUUAAAUUGUGUCUUCA